Molecule: ribosomal RNA, 254 nt
Filed under: uncultured bacterium
Lineage: Bacteria
Description: partial 16S ribosomal RNA
Rfam family: Bacterial small subunit ribosomal RNA
Source: RNAcentral
UACGUAGGGCGCAAGCGUUUAUCCGGAAUUAUUGGGCGUAAAGAGCUCGUAGGCGGUUUGUCGCGUCUGCCGUGAAAGUCCGGGGCUCAACUCCGGAUCUGCGGUGGGUACGGGCAGACUAGAGUGAUGUAGGGGAGACUGGAAUUCCUGGUGUAGCGGUGAAAUUCGCAGAUAUCAGGAGGAACACCGGUGGCGAAGGCGGGUCUCUGGGCCACUACUGACGCUGAGAAGCGAAAGCAUGGGGAGCGAACAGG